This 84-nucleotide transfer RNA is filed under the name Verrucomicrobiota bacterium. Its description in RNAcentral is "tRNA-Leu". It matches the Rfam family "tRNA". From Rfam's summary of the family: Transfer RNA (tRNA) molecules are approximately 80 nucleotides in length. Their secondary structure includes four short double-helical elements and three loops (D, anti-codon, and T loops). The record is from RNAcentral. Lineage: Bacteria; Pseudomonadati; Verrucomicrobiota. RNAcentral also lists the same sequence under 4 other names.
GCGCGCGUGGCGGAAUGGCAGACGCGCCAGACUUAGGAUCUGGUCCCGCAAGGGUUGGAGGUUCAAGUCCUCUCGCGCGCACCA